UACGUAGGGUGCGAGCGUUGUCCGGAAUUAUUGGGCGUAAAGAGCUUGUAGGCGGUUUGUCGCGUCUGCUGUGAAAAUCCGGGGCUCAACCCCGGACUUGCAGUGGGUACGGGCAGACUAGAGUGUGGUAGGGGAGACUGGAAUUCCUGGUGUAGCGGUGAAAUGCGCAGAUAUCAGGAGGAACACCGAUGGCGAAGGCGGGUCUCUGGGCCGAUACUGACGUGAGGAGCGAAAGCGUGGGGAGCGAACAGG
This 252-nucleotide ribosomal RNA is filed under the name uncultured bacterium. RNAcentral describes it as "partial 16S ribosomal RNA". It matches the Rfam family "Bacterial small subunit ribosomal RNA", at positions 524 to 776 of the family's 1533-position model. The record is from RNAcentral.